UGUAUUUGACCCUUUUUCACA
Non-coding RNA from Caenorhabditis elegans, 21 nucleotides. The record is from Ensembl. Lineage: Eukaryota; Metazoa; Nematoda; Chromadorea; Rhabditida; Rhabditidae.